GUUACCCCCCAAAAAAAAAAUGUUGUGAAAAGGAAGUACAGCAACAACAACAAAAAGCAAAUCAGUGUUGUAAGCUUAGAGUACAAUUUCAAAGGUCAUUACUAAUGGCAGCAUUUUUUUUAUCUUUUAAAAACAUUAUGCUACAUAUCAGUAUCAUUUUCAUACCUUUGGCUUUUGCUACUCCUGUAAAAAUCAAUUAAAAUGUCAUCCAGCCACUGAAUUACCAUUAUUAUACCUAAAAAGUUUAUAAGAUGACAGUUGUCAUUAUUUCCUGUUUUAUCUCCAUGCUGACAGUUGAGUGGGAGGUAUCAAAAUCCCUCUAAGUCAGAUUGCUCAGUUUUUUGCUGGUAAUCAAACUGCAGUUGUACCAAAGGAAAGUAAAGCUAAGACUACAUCAGAAUCACAGUUUAUUGCAUAUAUGGUAACAGUGUUGUAUGCAUUUGUCUUCUCUCAGUGAUGAGUGACAGGAUGAGGAGAAAUUAUUUGACAUUUUUCUAUGGUUGAAUUAAAAGAUACCUUUCUUUUGCCUUUAGGUUUGGAAGAUAAUAAGAUACUGGAUGUUGACCCUAUCUUAGUUUGACUUGGAGUAAUAAAGAGAGGAGAAGGGGAUGGACUUUGGCUUUUUCAGUGGUUUUUUUUUCCCCCAUAAAGGGUGGUAGUGUCAAUGUUUAUAUCAAUUUUACACGUAGUACGUGACUAUGAAACCAUAUAUCUCAAGUAACUACAAAUCAAUGUCUAUUAUUUAAAGCCAACAAAACAGUGUAGCAGUUUUAAGUUCAAUAAUGUUAAGUAUUGUAUGGAAAUAUAUUGGAGGCAAGUUCAGUUGAUGACAAUUGUGUAUAUGUUACUGAUGCUGUAAAUUAUUUUUAAUAAAGAAAAUUGUAUUAUCA
This is a non-coding RNA of Microcebus murinus (gray mouse lemur), 890 nucleotides long. NCBI's taxonomy places the organism in Eukaryota, Metazoa, Chordata, Mammalia, Primates, Cheirogaleidae. The record is from RefSeq and is a predicted model, not a curated record.